AGCGAACGCUGGCGGCAUGCCUAACACAUGCAAGUCGAACGAGACCUUCGGGUCUAGUGGCGCACGGGUGCGUAACGCGUGGGAACCUGCCCUUAGGUUCGGAAUAACUCCCCGAAAGGGGUGCUAAUACCGGAUAAUGUCUUCGGUCCAAAGAUUUAUCGCCUUUGGAUGGGCCCGCGUUGGAUUAGCUAGUUGGUAGGGUAAAAGCCUACCAAGGCGACGAUCCAUAGCUGGUCUGAGAGGAUGAUCAGCCACACUGGGACUGAGACACGGCCCAGACUCCUACGGGAGGCAGCAGUGGGGAAUAUUGGACAAUGGGCGAAAGCCUGAUCCAGCAAUGCCGCGUGAGUGAUGAAGGCCUUAGGGUUGUAAAGCUCUUUUACCCGGGAUGAUAAUGACAGUACCGGGAGAAUAAGCUCCGGCUAACUCCGUG
Molecule: ribosomal RNA, 433 nt
Filed under: uncultured bacterium
Lineage: Bacteria
Description: partial 16S ribosomal RNA
Rfam family: Bacterial small subunit ribosomal RNA
Source: RNAcentral